This 1343-nucleotide ribosomal RNA is filed under the name uncultured bacterium. RNAcentral's name for it is "16S ribosomal RNA". It matches the Rfam family "Bacterial small subunit ribosomal RNA", at positions 28 to 1378 of the family's 1533-position model. The record is from RNAcentral.
GACGAACGCUGGCGGCGUGCCUAACACAUGCAAGUCGAACGGAAAGGCCCUGCUUUUGUGGGGUGCUCGAGUGGCGAACGGGUGAGUAACACGUGAGUAACCUGCCCUUGACUUUGGGAUAACUUCAGGAAACUGGGGCUAAUACCGGAUAGGAGCUCCUGCUGCAUGGUGGGGGUUGGAAAGUUUCGGCGGUUGGGGAUGGACUCGCGGCUUAUCAGCUUGUUGGUGGGGUAGUGGCUUACCAAGGCUUUGACGGGUAGCCGGCCUGAGAGGGUGACCGGCCACAUUGGGACUGAGAUACGGCCCAGACUCCUACGGGAGGCAGCAGUGGGGAAUAUUGCACAAUGGGCGGAAGCCUGAUGCAGCAACGCCGCGUGCGGGAUGACGGCCUUCGGGUUGUAAACCGCUUUCGCCUGUGACGAAGCGUGAGUGACGGUAAUGGGUAAAGAAGCACCGGCUAACUACGUGCCAGCAGCCGCGGUGAUACGUAGGGUGCGAGCGUUGUCCGGAUUUAUUGGGCGUAAAGGGCUCGUAGGUGGUUGAUCGCGUCGGAAGUGUAAUCUUGGGGCUUAACCCUGAGCGUGCUUUCGAUACGGGUUGACUUGAGGAAGGUAGGGGAGAAUGGAAUUCCUGGUGGAGCGGUGGAAUGCGCAGAUAUCAGGAGGAACACCAGUGGCGAAGGCGGUUCUCUGGGCCUUUCCUGACGCUGAGGAGCGAAAGCGUGGGGAGCGAACAGGCUUAGAUACCCUGGUAGUCCACGCUGUAAACGGUGGGUACUAGGCGUGGGGUCCAUUCCACGGGUUCCGUGCCGUAGCUAACGCUUUAAGUACCCCGCCUGGGGAGUACGGCCGCAAGGCUAAAACUCAAAGGAAUUGACGGGGCCCCGCACAAGCGGCGGAGCAUGCGGAUUAAUUCGAUGCAACGCGUAGAACCUUACCUGGGUUUGACAUGGAUCGGGAGUGCUCAGAGAUGGGUGUGCCUCUUUUGGGGUCGGUUCACAGGUGGUGCAUGGCUGUCGUCAGCUCGUGUCGUGAGAUGUUGGGUUAAGUCCCGCAACGAGCGCAACCCUUGUUCACUGUUGCCAGCACGUUAUGGUGGGGACUCAGUGGAGACCGCCGGGGUCAACUCGGAGGAAGGUGGGGAUGACGUCAAGUCAUCAUGCCCCUUAUGUCCAGGGCUUCACGCAUGCUACAAUGGCUGGUACAGAGAGUGGCGAGCCUGUGAGGGUGAGCGAAUCUCGGAAAGCCGGUCUCAGUUCGGAUUGGGGUCUGCAACUCGACCUCAUGAAGUCGGAGUCGCUAGUAAUCGCAGAUCAGCAACGCUGCGGUGAAUACGUUCCCGGG